GGGGGUAUAGCUCAGUGGUAGAGCGCCAGCAUACGUAUCGGAAGGUCGGGGUUCGACUCCCUCUGCCUCCA
This 71-nucleotide transfer RNA is filed under the name Pristionchus pacificus. It matches the Rfam family "tRNA". From Rfam's summary of the family: Transfer RNA (tRNA) molecules are approximately 80 nucleotides in length. Lineage: Eukaryota; Metazoa; Nematoda; Chromadorea; Rhabditida; Neodiplogasteridae. The record is from Rfam by way of RNAcentral.